This 433-nucleotide ribosomal RNA is filed under the name uncultured bacterium. RNAcentral's name for it is "partial 16S ribosomal RNA". It matches the Rfam family "Bacterial small subunit ribosomal RNA", at positions 29 to 507 of the family's 1533-position model. The record is from RNAcentral.
AACGAACGCUGGCGGCAUGCCUAACACAUGCAAGUCGAACGAGACCUUCGGGUCUAGUGGCGCACGGGUGCGUAACGCGUGGGAACCUGCCCUUAGGUUCGGAAUAACUCCCCGAAAGGGGUGCUAAUACCGGAUAAUGUCUUCGGACCAAAGAUUUAUCGCCUUUGGAUGGGCCCGCGUUGGAUUAGCUAGUUGGUAGGGUAAAAGCCUACCAAGGCGACGAUCCAUAGCUGGUCUGAGAGGAUGAUCAGCCACACUGGGACUGAGACACGGCCCAGACGCCUGCGAGAGGCAGCAGUGGGGAAUAUGGGACGAUGUGGGAAGGGGUGAUACUUCCCUGCAGCGGGAAUGUUGAAGAAAUUAGGGGUGUAAUGCGCUUUUACGAGGGACGAGCAGGACGGGACCGGGAGAAUAAGCACCGGCUAACUUCGUG